RNAcentral lists this ribosomal RNA (292 nucleotides) under uncultured bacterium. Its description in RNAcentral is "partial 16S ribosomal RNA". It matches the Rfam family "Bacterial small subunit ribosomal RNA", at positions 505 to 796 of the family's 1533-position model. The record is from RNAcentral.
GUGCCAGCCGCCGCGGUAAUACGGGGGGUGCAAGCGUUAUUCGGAAUUAUUGGGCGUAAAGGGCGCGUAGGCGGUCUCUUAAGUCAGAUGUGAAAGCCCGGGGCUUAACCCCGGAAGUGCAUUUGAAACUAAGGGACUUGAGUAUGGGAGAGGGAAGUGGAAUUCCUGGUGUAGAGGUGAAAUUCGUAGAUAUCAGGAGGAACACCGGUGGCGAAGGCGACUUCCUGGACCAAUACUGACGCUGAGGUGCGAAGGCGUAGGUAGCAAACAGGAUUAGAAACCCUUGUAGUCC